CUUUACAAUCUGCUACCAAGAUUGUUAAGGUUUAUAAUUAUAGAGAAAAGAGACAUUUAAAUAUCAUUUAGUAUAUAUCACAUUAAGAACAAUAUACCAGUUAUUAACGCAUUGAUAUCUUCAAUAAUUAUGGCUAGUAAAAUUACACUUUUUACUUAUCGGAUUACUUGUUUUCACAAGUUUUUGCGAAUUUGAGGCCGAUGCAGGUAAUAUGAAAUGUUAUUGCGACACGAGCUGUUCAAAUGGAGGGUCACAACAGUUCAACUAUUUAUGCUACCCUUGCUUUCCACCCAAAGUAUGUUGUUGCAAGAAAACGUUACCAAUACAAAAAUAAGCUCGAAGCAUGCCGUUAUUAAAACUGAACAUCUGAAGAAAGAAUCCAUUUCUUUUAGAAAGUAUUAAUAAAGUGAAGAAAUUAAUAAA
Molecule: long non-coding RNA, 423 nt
Organism: Ruditapes philippinarum (Manila clam)
Lineage: Eukaryota; Metazoa; Mollusca; Bivalvia; Venerida; Veneridae
Exons: 3
Source: RefSeq, a predicted model, not a curated record